AGGUCCGUAGCUCUAACGGCCAGAGCACCGGAUUCCAAAUCCGGGGGUUGCAGGUUCAAAUCCUGCCGGGCCUGCCA
This 77-nucleotide transfer RNA is filed under the name Burkholderiales bacterium. Its description in RNAcentral is "tRNA-Trp". It matches the Rfam family "tRNA". From Rfam's summary of the family: Transfer RNA (tRNA) molecules are approximately 80 nucleotides in length. Their secondary structure includes four short double-helical elements and three loops (D, anti-codon, and T loops). Lineage: Bacteria; Pseudomonadati; Pseudomonadota; Betaproteobacteria; Burkholderiales. RNAcentral also lists the same sequence under 5 other names. The record is from RNAcentral.